This 511-nucleotide ribosomal RNA is filed under the name uncultured bacterium. RNAcentral describes it as "partial 16S ribosomal RNA". It matches the Rfam family "Bacterial small subunit ribosomal RNA", at positions 28 to 507 of the family's 1533-position model. The record is from RNAcentral.
GAUGAACGCUGGCGGCGUGCCAAUACAUGCCAGUCGAACGAAACUUCUUUAUCACCGAGUGCUUGCACUCACCGAUAAAGAGUUGAGUGGCGAACGGGUGAGUAACACGUGGGCAGCCUGCCCAAAAGAGGGGGAUAACACUUGGAAACAGGUGCUAAUACCGCAUAACCAUAGUUACCGCAUGGUAACUAUGUAAAAGGUGGCUAUACUACCGCUUUUGGAUGGGCCCGCGGCGCAUUAGCUAGUUGGUAGGGUAAAGGCUUACCAAGGCAAUGAUGCGUAGCCGAAUUGAGAGGUUGAUCGGCCACAUUGGGACUGAGACACGGCCCAAACUCCUACGGGAGGCAGCAGUAGGGAAUCGUCCACAAUGGGCGAAAGCCUGAUGGAGCAACGCCGCGUGGGUGAAGAAGGUCUUCGGAUCGUAAAACCCUGUUGUUAGAGAAGAAAGUGCGUGAGAGUAACUGUUCACGUUUCGACGGUAUCUAACCAGAAAGCCACGGCUAACUACGUG